AUGAUAAGAAAUUCGUCGUUGACCUCCGUUUCUCCAUCUUCGAAUCACUCGGAAUAUUGUAGGAAUAAAUAUAAAUCGAAAGAACCAACUGUAAAAAAUAAGGGAAAUUGUGGCUUCCUGGUUUUUCAAGCGACAUACACGAAAUACACUGAAAAGCAUCUUUGGUUCUUGAAGAUGCAGUUAGAAAUAUUUACAUUGUUGUUGCAUUUUGUGCUGGUAAUAAGCGAAUAA
RNAcentral lists this long non-coding RNA (231 nucleotides) under Vicia faba (fava bean). Lineage: Eukaryota; Viridiplantae; Streptophyta; Magnoliopsida; Fabales; Fabaceae. The record is from RNAcentral.